Molecule: long non-coding RNA, 234 nt
Filed under: Lathyrus oleraceus (garden pea)
Lineage: Eukaryota; Viridiplantae; Streptophyta; Magnoliopsida; Fabales; Fabaceae
Description: Pisum sativum (pea) long non-coding RNA (PSAT_LNC025636)
Source: RNAcentral
UACAACAUAUGCACACGCUGAACAAACGGGUACUCACACCAAAGAAGAAGAGGGUGAACACACACAAGACAACACAACAAAACAGAAAAAGGGUGAACACAAAAAAAAAAAAAACAAAAGAGUGCCCGGAGAGAUUGCUCGCAAACUCCUGCCUACGUAUCUCAUCUGGUAUGAGAAUCAGGGCGACGUAGUUCCCCUUAACAGGGGUACAACAUGUAAGAACAAAAAUUGUUC